UUUGGCCUACGGGGCGCAGCAGUAGGGAAUCUUCCACAAUGGGCGAAAGCCUGAUGGAGCAAGGCCGCGUGGGGGAAGAAGGUCUUCGGAUCGUAAAACCCUGUUGUUAGAGAAGAAAGUGCGUGAGAGUAACUGUUCACAUUUCGACGGUAUAUAACCAGAAAGCCACGGCUAACUAAGUGCCAGCAGCAGCGGUAAUACGUAGGUGGCAAGCGUUAUCCGGAUUUAUUGGGCGUAAAGGGAACGCAGG
This 250-nucleotide ribosomal RNA is filed under the name uncultured bacterium. RNAcentral describes it as "partial 16S ribosomal RNA". It matches the Rfam family "Bacterial small subunit ribosomal RNA", at positions 333 to 575 of the family's 1533-position model. The record is from RNAcentral.